Molecule: non-coding RNA, 232 nt
Organism: Pelobates cultripes (western spadefoot toad)
Lineage: Eukaryota; Metazoa; Chordata; Amphibia; Anura; Pelobatidae
Source: the annotation of a GenBank genome assembly
CAGCUCGUCAUGCUAGAGCACUUUUUCAAUGGGCUCCCCAACGACAUGGCAACGACGCAUUCGUAUGUCAUCCAUAUGAACUUUCGAUGACACUUUCUGCGCCUACCAUGGUGACCACGGGUAACGGGGAAUCACGGUUCGAUUCUGGAGAGGAAGACUGAGAAACGGCUACCGCAUGCAAAGAAGACAGCAGGCGCGCAAAUGACCCACUCCCGACAUGGGAAGUUAAUGA